RNAcentral lists this long non-coding RNA (1249 nucleotides) under Salvator merianae (Argentine black and white tegu). Its description in RNAcentral is "lncRNA (ENSSMRG00000002975.1)". The record is from RNAcentral. Lineage: Eukaryota; Metazoa; Chordata; Lepidosauria; Squamata; Teiidae.
CACUCGCUUGAUGGCCGGGGGAUAAAUAGAAACGUCUGCCGGCAGGGAAGAUGAAAGGAAGAGCCGGAGCGAAGAGUUAGAGGAGUGGCGGGGCAGGGGGUGGGGUGGGGUGGGGUGGGAGAUGGAUCAGGUGUAAAGAAGCGACUGGGAAGGAUGAGAGAGAUUCGGUGGGAGGAUGAAUCAAAUGGGCUGUUCUCUGCCCUUGUCGUCUUCGUGGGCAAAUAUAACCAGGAUUGCUGUUCAGAACUGUUUCUGAAGAAAAGGACAUGACUGGACAGGGCCACUAAAUCCGAAGGAAAAGGCACCACCUUCCCUUGGCACCNCUCGCUGUGCUAUUGGCAUGGAAGAAUCAUCUGGAGAAGGAAAGGAGAGGGAGGGUCUUCUGACGGGGGGGUGACUCCGGUCCUCCAGUCAUGCAGAAUAGAAUCCAAGGAGGAAAUUGGCUGAUGAAUAUUUGAGCCCCAGUUGGUUCAGCCUCCAAUGGGAAAGAACCAGAUGAGAAAGGAAGCCCAUCGGCCUUAAGAUGUCCGCCUGAUGUCGUGCCCGACAAAAGCAAGUUACUGCUCCCUUUGAAAGGCCAGCGGAGGGUGUUUGCGUGAAUUCCUCGUUGCGAGCAGCUCAGAGCUGAAACAUGGAACUGGGGGGGACGGAGAGCAUUUUUUAAAUUUCCGCAGGGAACCAGGGCACAUUUAUUAGUUUGUGAGGAAUUGUCAUCUUCUGCUCUUUCUUCUCUCCCUCCUUUUUUUCUGACAAUAGGAGGAGUCUCUGCACGCUUCUUUUCAUCUUAAGUGCUUUCUCAAGACCAUGGAACACGGAUUUGAUAGAUCUGAAUGUCUUCUAGCCAUUGGUGGUCGUGAUAAGAAGUGAAUGAAAUGAGAUGUAAGGCUCUGUGCUUUUGCUUUGUUCUCUGCUCAAGCUUUUAAGUUGUUUUUAGCAUUGUAAGGUUAAGGACAUGGGAUGCUUGUUCAUUAACACGAGAUACCGCAAAAAGGUUCUUUGUCGGUGGCUUCUAGAUCAGGACUGUUAAAGACGAGAAGACAGACUUCAGUCUUUUAGCAAAUGCUGAUUCCUGAAUCAGUUGCCCAGUGUGUUUUCGGCUUUAUUCUAGUGGAGGAAUCGCAGUGGUGUUGUAUAUGAAAGUAUCGGUGAAGGAAAGUAGCUCAAUCUCAGACACACCGGGCUGGUGACCCUACAUUAUUGUGAGAAAGGAUAUUAGCUCAUCCCUACCUGCGUUCAGUUCCUCCCUCUC